RNAcentral lists this ribosomal RNA (492 nucleotides) under uncultured bacterium. RNAcentral describes it as "partial 16S ribosomal RNA". It matches the Rfam family "Bacterial small subunit ribosomal RNA", at positions 29 to 507 of the family's 1533-position model. The record is from RNAcentral.
AGUGAACGCUGGCGGUAGGCCUAACACAUGCAAGUCGAACGGCAGCACAGUAAGAGCUUGCUCUUACGGGUGGCGAGUGGCGGACGGGUGAGGAAUACAUCGGAAUCUACUUUUUCGUGGGGGAUAACGUAGGGAAACUUACGCUAAUACCGCAUACGACCUGCGGGUGAAAGCAGGGGAUCUUCGGACCUUGCGCGAUUGAAUGAGCCGAUGUCGGAUUAGCUAGUUGGCGGGGUAAAGGCCCACCAAGGCGACGAUCCGUAGCUGGUCUGAGAGGAUGAUCAGCCACACUGGAACUGGGACAGGGUCCAUACUCCUACGGGAGGCAGCAGUGUGGAAUAUUGGACAAUGGGCGCAAGCCUGAUCCAGCCAUACCGCGUGUGUGAAGAAGGCCUUCGGGUUGUAAAGCCCUUUUGUUGGGAAAGAAAAGCAGCAGGUUAAUACCCCGCUGUUCUGACGGUACCCAAAGAAUAAGCACCGGCUAACUUCGUG